RNAcentral lists this ribosomal RNA (210 nucleotides) under Brevibacillus sp. DK03. Its description in RNAcentral is "partial 16S ribosomal RNA". It matches the Rfam family "Bacterial small subunit ribosomal RNA", at positions 55 to 254 of the family's 1533-position model. Lineage: Bacteria; Bacillati; Bacillota; Bacilli; Caryophanales; Paenibacillaceae. The record is from RNAcentral.
AAAGGGGGGGGCGAGAAUGCUUGUCUGGCGAGUCUCUUCGGGGGCUACCGGCGGACGGGUGAGUAAACGUAUGCCCCUGCCUCUCCACUGGGAUAACAUAUGGAAACUUAUGCUAAUACCGGAUAGGUUUUUGGAUCAAUGAUCUGAAAAGAAAAUAUGGCUUUUCGCUAUCACUGGGAGAUGGGCCUGCGGCGCAUUAGCUAUUUGGUU